GCAAACUUGGUCAUUUAGAGGAAGUAAAAGUCGUAACAAGGUUUCCGUAGGUGAACCUGCGGAAGGAUCAUUAAUGAAACUUCUACAUGUGGCUCAGCAAUGGCGCUGAGUUACAUAUGAAUGAGUGCAGUCGCAAACGUUAAACAUGAGGUAAGGAGGAGGACACCUUGUGAACCGUGGCCUUUCGGGGCUUUAUACAAACUCUAGUGAUGUCAAUGAAUGUCAUUGUUAUUCAUAACAAAUACAACUUUCAACAACGGAUCUCUUGGCUCUCGCAUCGAUGAAGAACGCAGC
RNAcentral lists this unclassified non-coding RNA (294 nucleotides) under uncultured fungus. Its description in RNAcentral is "partial contains small subunit ribosomal RNA, internal transcribed spacer 1, and 5.8S ribosomal RNA". The stretch from base 1 to 73 matches the Rfam family "Eukaryotic small subunit ribosomal RNA", at positions 1759 to 1831 of the family's 1831-position model. Lineage: Eukaryota; Fungi. The record is from RNAcentral.